Molecule: ribosomal RNA, 497 nt
Filed under: uncultured bacterium
Lineage: Bacteria
Description: partial 16S ribosomal RNA
Rfam family: Bacterial small subunit ribosomal RNA
Source: RNAcentral
GAUGAACGCUGGCGGCGUGCCUAAUACAUGCAAGUCGAGCGAACAGAUGAGGAGCUUGCUCCUCUGACGUUAGCGGCGGACGGGUGAGUAACACGUGGAUAACCUACCUAUAAGACUGGGAUAACUUCGGGAAACCGGAGCUAAUACCGGAUAAUAUAUUGAACCGCAUGGUUCAAUAGUGAAAGACGGUUUUGCUGUCACUUAUAGAUGGAUCCGCGCCGCAUUAGCUAGUUGGUAAGGUAACGGCUUACCAAGGCAACGAUGCGUAGCCGACCUGAGAGGGUGAUCGGCCACACUGGAACUGAGACACGGUCCAGACUCCUACGGGAGGCAGCAGUAGGGAAUCUUCCGCAAUGGGCGAAAGCCUGACGGAGCAACGCCGCGUGAGUGAUGAAGGUCUUCGGAUCGUAAAACUCUGUUAGUAGGGAAGAACAAAUGUGUAAGUAACUAUGUACGUCUUGACGGUACCUAAUCAGAAAGCCACGGCUAACUACGUG